Molecule: ribosomal RNA, 786 nt
Filed under: uncultured bacterium
Lineage: Bacteria
Description: bacterial SSU rRNA
Rfam family: Bacterial small subunit ribosomal RNA
Source: RNAcentral
AGAGUUUGAUCCUGGCUCAGAACGAACGCUGGCGGCGUGCUUAACACAUGCAAGUCGAGUGCGCGUCUGUAGCAAUACAGAUGGCGCACGGCGCACGGGUGCGUAACACGUGGGCAAUCUGCCCUUCGAUGGGGAAUAACUCCGGGAAACCGAAGCUAAUUCCGCAUAACAUUCCUUGGACUUCGGUUCGAGGAUUCAAAGCCGUAAGGCGUCGAAGGAGGAGCCCGCGCCCGAUUAGCUAGUUGGUGAGGUAACGGCUCACCAAGGCAAUGAUCGGUAGCUGGUCUGAGAGGAUGGCCAGCCACACUGGAACUGAGACACGGUCCAGACUCCUACGGGAGGCAGCAGUGGGGAAUCUUGCGCAAUGGGCGAAAGCCUGACGCAGCGACGCCGCGUGGGGGAUGAAGCAUUUCGGUGUGUAAACCCCCUUCGACUGGGACGAAUGCCUCGCAAGAGGAGUGACGGUACCAGUAGAAGAAGCCCCGGCUAACUACGUGCCAGCAGCCGCGGUAAGACGUAGGGGGCCAGCGUUGUUCGGAAUUACUGGGUGUAAAGGGUUCGUAGGCGGUGUGGCAAGUCGGGAGUGAAAUCUAUGGGCUUAACUCAUAGGCUGCUUCCGAAACUGCUGUGCUUGAGUGUGGGAGAGGCGCGUGGAAUUGCAGGUGUAGCGGUGAAAUGCGUAGAUAUCUGCAGGAACACCCGUGGCGAAAGCGGCGCGCUGGACCACAACUGACGCUGAGGAACGAAAGCUAGGGGAGCAAACAGGAUUAGAUACCCUAGUAGUCC